UUCGCCUGUUUACAAAAACAUGUCCUUUUGAUUUUUAUAUAAGGUCUGACCUGCCCUAUGAAUAUUUAAAUGGCCGCGGUAUACUAACCGUGCAAAGGUAGCAUAGUCAUUUGUCUCUUAAUUGGAGGCUUGAAUGAAGGGUUGGACGAGAUAUAAGCUUUCUUUGUUAUAUUUUAUUGAAUUUGACUUUUGAGUUAAAAGGCUUAAAUUUUUUUAUAGGACGAGAAGACCCUAUAGAAUUUUAUAUGUUUGUAUAAUUAAUUUAUUUAUUUAUUAUUUAAUUUCUUGUUUAAAUAUAUUUUGUUGGGGCGAUGGGAAGAUUUUAAUAACUCUUUUUUGUUUUGAUCAUUGAUUUAUGUUUUAUUCUGAUCCUUUUUUAGAGAUUAUAAGAUUAAAUUACCUUAGGGAUAACAGCGUAAUUCUUUUGGAGAGUUCUUAUCGAUAAAAGAGUUUGCGACCUCGAUGUGGAUUAAAA
RNAcentral lists this ribosomal RNA (475 nucleotides) under Appasus japonicus. Its description in RNAcentral is "partial 16S ribosomal RNA". It matches the Rfam family "Bacterial large subunit ribosomal RNA", at positions 1795 to 2541 of the family's 2925-position model. Lineage: Eukaryota; Metazoa; Arthropoda; Insecta; Hemiptera; Belostomatidae. The record is from RNAcentral.